Molecule: ribosomal RNA, 584 nt
Filed under: uncultured bacterium
Lineage: Bacteria
Description: bacterial SSU rRNA
Rfam family: Bacterial small subunit ribosomal RNA
Source: RNAcentral
CCUACGGGAGGCAGCAGUGGGGAAUUUUGGACAAUGGGCGAAAGCCUGAUCCAGCAAUGCCGCGUGAGUGAAGAAGGCCUUCGGGUUGUAAAGCUCUUUUGUCAGGGAAGAAACGGUGUGGGCUAAUAUCCUGCACUAAUGACGGUACCUGAAGAAUAAGCACCGGCUAACUACGUGCCAGCAGCCGCGGUAAUACGUAGGGUGCAAGCGUUAAUCGGAAUUACUGGGCGUAAAGCGUGCGCAGGCGGUUUUGUAAGUCUGUCGUGAAAUCCCCGGGCUCAACCUGGGAAUUGCGAUGGAGACUGCAAGGCUAGAAUCUGGCAGAGGGGGGUAGAAUUCCACGUGUAGCAGUGAAAUGCGUAGAGAUGUGGAGGAACACCGAUGGCGAAGGCAGCCCCCUGGGUCAAGAUUGACGCUCAUGCACGAAAGCGUGGGGAGCAAACAGGAUUAGAUACCCUGGUAGUCCACGCCCUAAACGAUGUCUACUAGUUGUCGGGUUUUAAUUAACUUGGUAACGCAGCUAACGCGUGAAGUAGACCGCCUGGGGAUACGGUCGCAAGAUUAAAACUCAAAGGAAUUGACGG